This 409-nucleotide ribosomal RNA is filed under the name uncultured bacterium. RNAcentral's name for it is "bacterial SSU rRNA". It matches the Rfam family "Bacterial small subunit ribosomal RNA", at positions 30 to 443 of the family's 1533-position model. The record is from RNAcentral.
AUUGAACGCUGGCGGCAUGCCUUACACAUGCAAGUCGAACGGCAGCGGACCUUCGGGUGCCGGCGAGUGGCGAACGGGUGAGUAAUAUAUCGGAACGUACCUUUCAGUGGGGGAUAACGUAGCGAAAGUUACGCUAAUACCGCAUAUUCUGUGAGCAGGAAAGCAGGGGAUCGCAAGACCUUGCGCUGAUUGAGCGGCCGAUAUCAGAUUAGCUAGUUGGUGAGGUAAAGGCUCACCAAGGCGACGAUCUGUAGCGGGUCUGAGAGGAUGAUCCGCCACACUGGAACUGAGACACGGUCCAGACUCCUACGGGAGGCAGCAGUGGGGAAUUUUGGACAAUGGGCGCAAGCCUGAUCCAGCCAUGCCGCGUGAGUGAAGAAGGCCUCGGUUGUAAGGUACUACGUUCGGU